Molecule: ribosomal RNA, 27 nt
Filed under: Kappaphycus sp. SFZ-2009a
Lineage: Eukaryota; Rhodophyta; Florideophyceae; Gigartinales; Solieriaceae
Description: partial 25S ribosomal RNA
Source: RNAcentral
CAAGGCAACCCGCUGAACUUAAGAAUU